CUCCUUGGUUUCUGAAGGACUCCCCUCCAACCUGUCUGUAGGUUUAAAUCUCCAGACGGGUUGAAGAAGUCGCCCAAAAGGAACCACUUCGCAAAUUUUGUUUCCUCCCUUGAAAUCCCGCUGGACGUGGAGCAGAUCUUCACUUGAAGACAGCGAAGGACAAUUUGUGGAAGGCUUAAUGAAGUGAAAGCAAGAGGUCCUGUGGAGGAGGCAAGGGUGGGAGAGAUAUGGGAUCAUAAAAUUUGGCAAAGCAAGUGAUUGAGUGCAGUGUCUUUGUUAGUUUGUCAGCAUCGCAGUUACAAGUAAAAUAUGCUUGUAAAAU
This is a long non-coding RNA of Cyanistes caeruleus (blue tit), 322 nucleotides long. The record is from Ensembl. Lineage: Eukaryota; Metazoa; Chordata; Aves; Passeriformes; Paridae.